RNAcentral lists this ribosomal RNA (938 nucleotides) under Collimonas arenae. Its description in RNAcentral is "bacterial SSU rRNA". It matches the Rfam family "Bacterial small subunit ribosomal RNA", at positions 472 to 1415 of the family's 1533-position model. The record is from RNAcentral. Lineage: Bacteria; Pseudomonadati; Pseudomonadota; Betaproteobacteria; Burkholderiales; Oxalobacteraceae.
ACGGUACCUGAAGAAUAAGCACCGGCUAACUACGUGCCAGCAGCCGCGGUAAUACGUAGGGUGCAAGCGUUAAUCGGAAUUACUGGGCGUAAAGCGUGCGCAGGCGGUUAUGUAAGACAGGUGUGAAAUCCCCGGGCUUAACCUGGGAAUGGCAUUUGUGACUGCAUAGCUAGAGUGUGUCAGAGGGGGGUAGAAUUCCACGUGUAGCAGUGAAAUGCGUAGAGAUGUGGAGGAAUACCGAUGGCGAAGGCAGCCCCCUGGGAUAACACUGACGCUCAUGCACGAAAGCGUGGGGAGCAAACAGGAUUAGAUACCCUGGUAGUCCACGCCCUAAACGAUGUCUACUAGUUGUCGGGUCUUAAUUGACUUGGUAACGCAGCUAACGCGUGAAGUAGACCGCCUGGGGAGUACGGUCGCAAGAUUAAAACUCAAAGGAAUUGACGGGGACCCGCACAAGCGGUGGAUGAUGUGGAUUAAUUCGAUGCAACGCGAAAAACCUUACCUACCCUUGACAUGUACAGAAUCCCGAAGAGAUUUGGGAGUGUUCGAAAGAAAACUGUAACACAGGUGCUGCAUGGCUGUCGUCAGCUCGUGUCGUGAGAUGUUGGGUUAAGUCCCGCAACGAGCGCAACCCUUGUCAUUAGUUGCUACGAAAGGGCACUCUAAUGAGACUGCCGGUGACAAACCGGAGGAAGGUGGGGAUGACGUCAAGUCCUCAUGGCCCUUAUGGGUAGGGCUUCACACGUCAUACAAUGGUACAUACAGAGGGCCGCCAACCCGCGAGGGGGAGCUAAUCCCAGAAAGUGUAUCGUAGUCCGGAUUGUAGUCUGCAACUCGACUACAUGAAGUUGGAAUCGCUAGUAAUCGCGGAUCAGCAUGUCGCGGUGAAUACGUUCCCGGGUCUUGUACACACCGCCCGUCACACCAUGGGAGCGGGU